ACCACAACAGGUGGAGCCUGCGGUUAAUCGGACUCAACGCCGGGAAACUCACCAGAUAAGACAGCUGGAUGAUAGCCGGGCUGAAGACUCUGCUUGACUAGCUGAGAGGAGGUGCAUGGCCGUCGUCAGUUCGUACUGUGAAGCAUCCUGUUAAGUCAGGCAACGAGCGAGACCCACGCCAACAGUUGCCAGCAUGUCCUCCGGGAUGAUGGGGACACUGUUGGGACCGCCUCUGCUAAAGAGGAGGAAGGAAUGGGCAACGGUAGGUCAGCAUGCCCCGAAUUAUCCGGGCUACACGCGGGCUACAAUGGUCAGGACAAUGGGUAUCGACACCGAGAGGUGGAGGCAAUCUCCUAAACCUGUCCUUAGUUCGGAUUGUGGGCUGCAACUCGCCCACAUGAAGCUGGAAUCCGUAGUAAUCGCGUUUCAAAAUAGCGCGGUGAAUAUGUCCCUGCUCCUU
RNAcentral lists this ribosomal RNA (460 nucleotides) under uncultured Methanolinea sp. RNAcentral describes it as "bacterial SSU rRNA". It matches the Rfam family "Archaeal small subunit ribosomal RNA", at positions 878 to 1338 of the family's 1478-position model. Lineage: Archaea; Methanobacteriati; Methanobacteriota; Methanomicrobia; Methanomicrobiales; Methanoregulaceae. The record is from RNAcentral.